UUUAUAUCAUUGGCAAGUAAUCUGACAAUUUUAGGAAGUAUAAAUUGAUUGGUAUAAGUAACAACAAUAAUAAUGAUACUAAUAAUAAUUUAGAAAAGACUGGCAUUUUCAUUUCUAUAGGAACUUUAUAGUAUAGAAAUUUCUUCUACUAAUGCAUAUCUGCAAUUGUUUCUUAGGCUUCCCAUUUCCAUGGCUAUUGAGAGAUUAAAAUGACAUGUCCAAAGUCAUACAACCAAAAGGUCUCAGAGAUUCCAAAUCAUUGAAUCUUGAACAUCCUGUGUGGUGUGAUUUUCUCAAUGGAAAUGACACAAAAGAAGAUGAAACACCACCUGCUUUGCCAGUUCAUCCUAAGGACCAUUGAGUCUUUUCAUCUGAGUUGGAUCAGAAACCUUCUUUAUGUGUUACUACCUAUUACACUGGAAAUUCCUUGAGAACCAGCACUGUUUUGCUUUUUCAUUUAUAUUCACAGAUUUCAGAUAGGUGCUUGGUACUUAACCAUUUAAUAAAAUAUCUUCCAUACAUUUCUUCA
This 529-nucleotide long non-coding RNA is filed under the name Monodelphis domestica (gray short-tailed opossum). RNAcentral's name for it is "lncRNA (ENSMODG00000050798.1)". The record is from RNAcentral. Lineage: Eukaryota; Metazoa; Chordata; Mammalia; Didelphimorphia; Didelphidae.